AGGAAUACAUCGGAAUCUACUCUGUCGUGGGGGAGUAACGUAGGGAAACUUACGCUAAUACCGCAUACGACCUACGGGUGAAAGCAGGGGAUCUUCGGAUCUUGCGCGAUUGAAUGAGCCGAUGUCGGAUUAGCUAGUUGGCGGGGUAAAGGCCCACCAAGGCGACGAUCCGUAGCUGGUCUGAGAGGAUGAUCAGCCACACUGGAACUGAGACACGGUCCAGACUCCUACGGGAGGCAGCAGUU
RNAcentral lists this ribosomal RNA (245 nucleotides) under uncultured Stenotrophomonas sp. RNAcentral describes it as "partial 16S ribosomal RNA". It matches the Rfam family "Bacterial small subunit ribosomal RNA", at positions 109 to 355 of the family's 1533-position model. Lineage: Bacteria; Pseudomonadati; Pseudomonadota; Gammaproteobacteria; Lysobacterales; Lysobacteraceae. The record is from RNAcentral.